CGGCCGCGUCGACGAGAAAGUUGUGAAAGCAACCUGACGGUACCAGAGGAAUCAGCAUCGGCUAACUCCGUGCCAGCAGCCGCGGUAAGACGGAGGAUGCAAGCGUUAUCCGGAAUGAUUGGGCGUAAAGCGUCCGCAGGUGGCAGUUCAAGUCUGCUGUCAAAGACCGGGCUUAACUUCGGAAAGGCAGUGGAAACUGAACAGCUAGAGUAUGGUAGGGGCAAAGGGAAUUC
Molecule: ribosomal RNA, 233 nt
Filed under: uncultured Phormidium sp.
Lineage: Bacteria; Bacillati; Cyanobacteriota; Cyanophyceae; Oscillatoriales; Oscillatoriaceae
Description: partial 16S ribosomal RNA
Rfam family: Bacterial small subunit ribosomal RNA
Source: RNAcentral